GCCUCUAUGGUAUAGUGGUUUUGUGUUAUAGAGUUCUGUAUAGGUUAGCACUUGGAUCGCUAGUUCGAAUCCAGCUAGAGGCA
RNAcentral lists this transfer RNA (83 nucleotides) under Cordyceps militaris CM01. RNAcentral describes it as "tRNA-Und (NNN) (tRNA-Und-NNN-5-1)". It matches the Rfam family "tRNA". Rfam says of the family: Transfer RNA (tRNA) molecules are approximately 80 nucleotides in length. Lineage: Eukaryota; Fungi; Ascomycota; Sordariomycetes; Hypocreales; Cordycipitaceae. The record is from RNAcentral.